RNAcentral lists this ribosomal RNA (495 nucleotides) under uncultured bacterium. RNAcentral's name for it is "partial 16S ribosomal RNA". It matches the Rfam family "Bacterial small subunit ribosomal RNA", at positions 28 to 507 of the family's 1533-position model. The record is from RNAcentral.
GAUGAACGCUGGCGGCGUGCCUAAUACAUGCAAGUAGAACGCUGAAGGAGGAGCUUGCUCUUCUGGAUGAGUUGCGAACGGGUGAGUAACGCGUAGGUAACCUGCCUGGUAGCGGGGGAUAACUAUUGGAAACGAUAGCUAAUACCGCAUGACAACAGUUAUUGCAUGAUAACUGUUUAAAAGGGGCAACUGCUCCACUACCAGAUGGACCUGCGUUGUAUUAGCUAGUUGGUGAGGUAACGGCUCACCAAGGCGACGAUACAUAGCCGACCUGAGAGGGGGAUCGGCCACACUGGGACUGAGACACGGCCCAGACUCCUACGGGAGGCAGCAGUAGGGAAUCUUCGGCAAUGGACGGAAGUCUGACCGAGCAACGCCGCGUGAGGGAAGAAGGGUCUCGGAUCGUAAAGCUCUGUUGUAAGAGAAGAACGAGUGUGAGAGUGGAAAGUUCACACUGUGACGGUAUCUUACCAGAAAGGGACGGCUAACUACGUG